CCAUCGGUGGUUCAGUGGUAGAAUGCUCGCCUGGGCAGCCCGGGUUCGAUUCCCGGCCGAUGCA
This 64-nucleotide transfer RNA is filed under the name Cordylochernes scorpioides. RNAcentral's name for it is "tRNA-OTHER". It matches the Rfam family "tRNA". From Rfam's summary of the family: Transfer RNA (tRNA) molecules are approximately 80 nucleotides in length. Their secondary structure includes four short double-helical elements and three loops (D, anti-codon, and T loops). Further hydrogen bonds mediate the characteristic L-shaped molecular structure. tRNAs have two regions of fundamental functional importance: the anti-codon, which is responsible for specific mRNA codon recognition, and the 3' end, to which the tRNAs corresponding amino acid is attached (by aminoacyl-tRNA synthetases). tRNAs cope with the degeneracy of the genetic code in two manners: having more than one tRNA (with a specific anti-codon) for a particular amino acid; and 'wobble' base-pairing, i.e. permitting non-standard base-pairing at the 3rd anti-codon position. Lineage: Eukaryota; Metazoa; Arthropoda; Arachnida; Pseudoscorpiones; Chernetidae. The record is from RNAcentral.